GACGAACGCUGGCGGCGUGCCUAAUACAUGCAAGUAGAACGCUGAAGGAGGAGCUUGCUUCUCUGGAUGAGUUGCGAACGGGUGAGUAACGCGUAGGUAACCUGCCUGGUAGCGGGGGAUAACUAUUGGAAACGAUAGCUAAUACCGCAUAACAGUAGAUGUCGCAUGACAUUUGCUUAAAAGGUGCAAUUGCAUCACUACCAGAUGGACCUGCGUUGUAUUAGCUAGUUGGUGAAGUAACGGCUCACCAAGGCGACGAUACAUAGCCGACCUGAGAGGGUGAUCGGCCACACUGGGACUGAGACACGGCCCAGACUCCUACGGGAGGCAGCAGUAGGGAAUCUUCGGCAAUGGACGGAAGUCUGACCGAGCAACGCCGCGUGAGUGAAGAAGGUUUUCGGAUCGUAAAGCUCUGUUGUAAGAGAAGAACGAGUGUGAGAGUGGAAAGUUCACACUGUGACGGUAUCU
RNAcentral lists this ribosomal RNA (468 nucleotides) under Streptococcus mitis. RNAcentral's name for it is "bacterial SSU rRNA". It matches the Rfam family "Bacterial small subunit ribosomal RNA", at positions 28 to 480 of the family's 1533-position model. Lineage: Bacteria; Bacillati; Bacillota; Bacilli; Lactobacillales; Streptococcaceae. The record is from RNAcentral.